Nematostella vectensis (starlet sea anemone) is the source of this 1403-nucleotide long non-coding RNA. RefSeq lists it as uncharacterized. The record is from RefSeq and is a predicted model, not a curated record. Lineage: Eukaryota; Metazoa; Cnidaria; Anthozoa; Actiniaria; Edwardsiidae. The transcript is spliced from 2 exons.
CUCAAUCUAGCUGCACCUAGAAAUGAGGUAAGAAACAUUCAUGUGUCCUCACAUCUGAGGAAGACUUGUCUGAGAAAAGACUUUCAACAAUGCAAUGAUAAAGUAUUCAAAGGCUUGGAUUACAUAACUGUGGUUAAGGUACAAGCACCAGCGCUGGUCAACUUACAAGUUACAAACAACUUGACAAAACAGGGAAACCAGUGCCGAUACAAACAGCGUGACAACACAGGGAAACCAGUGGCUAAACAAACAGCUUUGACAACACAGGGAAACCAGUGCCUAUACAAACAGCUUGUCAACACAGGGAUGGCAGAAAUUAUGUCAGUUAAAUAUUAUACAAUUCAUCAAUUAAAAAGUGUUAGUAAAAUCAUAAUUCAGCCAAUGUUUACAGGAGGAGAUAGCCAGUUGUUUUCUGGUCUUUGCCAGCUCUUUUUUUCUGUAUUCCCCUUUCAUAUUUUGAGUAUGCAAGCUUUUUUCCACCAAAAUCCACAAAGCCGGCAAAAUCUGGCAGAUUAAAAAAAAAAUGUUUGGAACCCUGGUUAAGACAACCGUAGGUAAAAAAAGCCUAAAUAAUGAUAACAAAGUAGAGUUUUUUUCCAAUUGAACAACCUAUUGAUGAUGAUCUUGAAAUACCUCCUUUUGAACCCUGGUUAAGACAACCGUAGGUAAAAAAAAAGCCUAAGUAAUGAUAACAAAGUAGAGUUUUUUUUUUUCCAAUUGAACAACCUAUUGAUGAUGAUCUUGAAAUACCUCCUUCUGACAUGGGCCCUUCUUGAACCUACACAUGUCCCAUAACUCACUCAAAAUACAGAGCAUAGUAUAGUCAUGUUUAAGUAAUGAAAUUUUAUGUUUGUAUGAUCAUUUAUUAUUUUAAAUUGUUCACUGUAUAAAAUGUUUUCAUAAUUCUGAGAAAAAAAAUUUAACAGUCAACUAGAAAUAGUUUUCUCAAUACAAACCAGAACAAUGGACUUCGUAAAAAGCUAAUGUGUUUCAUUGGAAUGUGGAAACAACUAUGAUGAUGAUGAUGUCAAAGGCAGUCAAAUCUUUUAUCAAGUUUUUUUAUAUUAUUUUUUACAGAAAAUAAAAAAAAAAUAAUGGUAACAACACAGGGACUCCAAUGAAUAUAUAGCGAAAGACACUAAAGUAACCACCUCAUCAAGUGUGAAAGCUUCUCAUUACUUAUUUGAGAGAUAUCUAAGUUUUAAAAAUUUAAGUACUAACAAUAAUAUUGAUGAUGGUGGAGCAUAGAACUUUGAUAAGGACUCAUGUCUUCGGCAAUAACUAUUCAACAAAAACAUCACAAGGGAAUUAACUAUUUAAUAGAAAGAUGCUGGGUCAUGAUUCAUAUUGGAUAGACAUGGCGGAAAAACUGUGCACAUGUGCACUGUGAAGAGAAACCAAAA